UAUUUUUAUACAGUCAAAAAUAUUUUUAUGUAUACACAGUAGAUGUUGAACCCCCAUCGACUAGUCCAUAUAUUUACUUCAAUGAAAAUCCUGGCUCCGUCACUGGUUGUGGUAUCUAACUCCGCCCAUGUGUGAGUAUUUAGCUAGGUCUGUACGAGAUUGUUCACAUCAUCGGCUCAAACUUAAUUAAACAGGAGGGUUGUUGGAGGUCGAUCAAAAAUAAUCAGCCUCUCUACCGCAUAAAAGUAAAAAUAAAACUACAUAUAUUUAAUCCUUUAAAUUUUAUUUGUAAAAUUAUAUUAAAUUUGUUGUUAUUGGUAGAUUUCACAAAGGAAGGAAGAAAAAAUUAUAAAAUUUUAUCAAUAUCUUAAGUAUAAAGUAAAUUUGAAAAAGAGGCAACCAAGACAUUCAUUAAGCAGAAUUUACCCGCACUCAAUAUAUAUUUACGUUUAGUCAAUAAAUGCACGUAAUGCGUUUUCGUAUAAACUCUCACUACUUAACUAUGACAUGUUAAAAUUCAUUUUUACCUCAUUAAAUCACUUAAUUAAACAUAGGUGCUGUUAAGAAGAAAAAAAUUCAACUUUCCAAAAAUGGUGAUCUUUUAAAGAGGAAGAGUAUGAUGAGUUGAAAACUCUCAACCAUAAAAAAAACAAAUAGAAAUUGAAUGAAAAUCAUCAUUUUACUUGAAAUACUUUUCAAAUAAGUCUUUUCUUUUUCCUUAACAUUUCAUUCUAAUUUGAAAUGCUAAUGACCAAACCAAUUCCAAUACUUCAAAUACUACAAAAACAAACCAAUAUUUGCAAAUACUAAUAUUUUAAAAGUCAUAUAAGUGAUUCUUUUUAAAUAAACUAAAACGAAAAGUAAAUCACAUAUGCCGAACUAGAACAUUAUACAUAGCCAAGAUCUGAAGCCUUCAAAUAAUUUCUUACUUGGAAUUGAUAAUUGCAUUACUACCUCAUUUCUGAAGUAGAGAAACAAACUGCGUACAUUUUACCCUAUCCAGAGUCCAGAGACCUCACUUUGCGAGAUCCAGUAAGCUUGUGAUUGUUGUUGGAAUUGAUAAUUGCAUUGUGGCCACUGUCAUGGAAACAAAAUUCAUACUCCACAUAUAUGCUUAUUUCCAUUUUUGUUUGUAUAAUUCUUUCAUCAAAUCUUAUUCAGUUUCAUCCAAGCUCGACUUCACAUAAUUUUUGUGGAAGAAGAAGAAGAAGCGAUUCGCCAGACACUAUAUUUCCAAAAGGUAGAUAAUAGAAGGCAUUUUGGAGGUACUUCAAUGGAAAUGCUAUUAUUUGCUUUGUUAUUGAAACAGAGGGAAUUUCAAGUUAAUUUGUUUAUAUACAACUUUUUUCAUUUGUGUGGCACAAAGAAGAAAAUAAGGGGAAUAUAUAUAUAUAUAUAUAUAUAGAAUAAUAGUGGAUAUUGUACAUUAAUUGUUGGUAAGUUGUUGCCUGUUGGGACCAUUGACUUUAUUCUUCAUUUAUAUAUCAUCCCUAUCUACUUCACUACCAUGUAAUGUUAGGCAGUAGUUUUUUCUUUUUUC
This 1540-nucleotide long non-coding RNA is filed under the name Capsicum annuum. RNAcentral describes it as "long non-coding RNA (CANN_LNC005587)". The record is from RNAcentral. Lineage: Eukaryota; Viridiplantae; Streptophyta; Magnoliopsida; Solanales; Solanaceae.